RNAcentral lists this long non-coding RNA (1954 nucleotides) under Strongylocentrotus purpuratus (purple sea urchin). Its description in RNAcentral is "uncharacterized LOC115928258". The record is from RNAcentral. Lineage: Eukaryota; Metazoa; Echinodermata; Echinoidea; Camarodonta; Strongylocentrotidae.
AAACUAGUCGUCCAGCGCGCGCGCGCUACUCAGCUACUGUAGAUCACCGCCUCUGGAUUAUAUUCUGUAACAGUAACUUACUGUGGAAGGCUUGUGCGGAAUACGCGUGCGUACCAUUAGGCAGCCUAUGCCAUAUCCUGCAUGCUCGACCGGCUGUAGCGGCGGAUCCAAGAGUUUUUUUUUUAAGGAGGGGCAUGAAGUGUUAUAUCGGCAUGGGUCCCGGGGCCAAAGGGCCCCGGAAAAAAAAUUGAACUAUAAGAUGCUUUAUGGUACAUUCUGAGGCAUUUCUGAAUGCGUAAACUGAACAUUUAUUUGAAAAUUCUGGGCUUUUCCCUGUUUUUUCGGAAGGAAAAGGGGGCAUGUACCCCAACGCUCCCCAUGGGUCCGCCCUGGCAAGGCUAGCUAGCUCGACGCGAUCCGGCAGGGCUAGCUCUCUGCAGUACGCCCAGGACUGGCGUCGACCGCCGGCGCCGCCGCUAGACCCGCCAGAGCGCCUAGCUAGAUACCGUACCUGCAGCUAGCAUCAGCUACAGUUUCAGCUGGUCGGCGCAGCUUUUUAGCCUUGCCUAUGCUGCUGGUGGUUCCUUGUCUUCACUCCAAAAAUAUCUACAAUGUAUACCAAAACCUAACAUGCUUGAAGAUGUAGGAGAUCCUCGCUAUCCAUCCACCUUCGCAGCUUCUUUUGCCUCACAAUUACCUCUGUCACAAGUCCUAUUAAACACCGUGCCUGAUUCUGGUGCAGAUGACAGCACUGGGGACACUUCGCCUCAAUUGAAGCUGUUAUACAACCCUUAGACACAACCACUUGCCUGCUAAUUACCUGCUAUGAAAGAAAUUACAUAUUGUGAGCUACUAGCAAAGGAACAACUUCAACACUGCAUCAAAUGGCUCGACCAAAGUUAUCAGUGGAGCAAUAUUCACCUGGUUUCCCCAAAACAAAACAGCACAUCCCAAAGAAUGGUGAACUCCAGUUGAAAAGACAUGCGAUUCUGAAAUAACCAUGGUCAUUUCAGACAUCUUGCGGGAGAAUUAAAAGGGGCAAGAACAGUCAGUGAUUUAGAUACAUUUUACCAUCAGGAGCAUUCACUGCAUUGCACAGUAUGUAACUGAAUAGUUGGAGAGAAACUGGACUCUGUGUAACUAUACUAGACAUGACAAGUACAGAAGUACUAGCUAGUAAUGGACAAGGAAUUUUACUCACGUGAGCAGUUCAAAACCGAAUCCAAGUAAGUUUUCCUCAAGUGUAUCCAACCAGUCCUUCAAAUGCUGCACCUAGACCACAAGGCCAUCCAAAACUGCACCACUCCGACAAUUCUGGGAGUUAUAUUACAGUCAGAUCUCAAAUGGAAUUUCAAGUGCCGGCAAGCGACUAUACAUUUACGACAUCUCAGAGUAUCAUGUGAAGAUCUAGCAGACAUCUUCUCGACAUAUCCGAUCUUCGCUAGAAUACGCUUCUCCAGUUUGGUCCACAUCAAUUUCCCGAACAGUUAUCUUGCAGUCUGAAGAAAGUGCAGAAACGUGUCUGCUGUAUUAUCCUUGGAUAAGAACAGUUGUAUGAAACCACUCGUUUCUCUCCAGAGUCUAACUUCUUGCCGUCUUGCCCUUCUUGAAUCCUUUUCUCUCAAACUGUUUAAGUCAUCACGAGAUCGAAUUAUGUUCUACCGCCAACUCGUCGCCAAACCUCUUGCCAUGAACUCUCAAACUCUCUACACAUAACUAUACCCUAUUGUAGAACUGAGAGACACCACACUUCAAUUAUUCCCUUUAUCGUACGACUCUUUAACAACUAACUGUGAUUUUAAUUAUCUUUGUCAUGUUUGUAUUUAUUUAUUUUUGCUUACCAUAUUAUUGUUUUUCAUUCUUCUCUUUUCCAUUCUUCAUUCUUUUAUCCUCCCCUCUCAUGUACUUUUUCUCCUUCUCUCUAAAUCAGCAAUUAAAGUACUUACAUGCAUUA